GACGAACGCUGGCGGCGUGCUUAACACAUGCAAGUCGAACGAUGAUGCUGGAGCUUGCUCCAGUUGAUUAGGGGCGAACGGGUGAGUAACACGUGAGUAAUCUGCCCUUGACUCUGGGAUAACUGCGGGAAACUGUAGCUAAUACCGGAUACUUUCACCGGAAGGCAUCUUCUGGUGAUGAAAGAAUUUCGGUCAGGGAUGAGCUCGCGGCCUAUCAGCUUGUUGGUGAGGUAACGGCUCACCAAGGCGACGACGGGUAGCCGGCCUGAGAGGGUGACCGGCCACACUGGGACUGAGACACGGCCCAGACUCCUACGGGAGGCAGCAGUGGGGAAUAUUGCACAAUGGGCGCAAGCCUGAUGCAGCAACGCCGCGUGAGGGAUGAAGGCCUUCGGGUUGUAAACCUCUUUUAGCAGGAAAGAAGCGAAAGUGACGGUACCUGCAGAAAAAGCACCGGCUAACUACGUGCCAGCCGCCGCGGUAA
Molecule: ribosomal RNA, 484 nt
Filed under: uncultured bacterium
Lineage: Bacteria
Description: partial 16S ribosomal RNA
Rfam family: Bacterial small subunit ribosomal RNA
Source: RNAcentral